ACGUAGGGGGCGAGCGUUGUCCGGAAUCACUGGGCGUAAAGAGUCCGUAGGCGGCGGGCUAAGUCGCGCGUUAAAGCCCCAGGCUCAACCUGGGAAGCGCGUGCGAGACUGGUCCGCUUGAGGGCGGCAGAGGCGAGCGGAACGUUGCAAGUAGCGGUGAAAUGCAUUGAUAUGCAACGGAACACCGAUGGCGAGAGCAGCUCGCUGGGCCGCAUCUGACGCUGAGGGACGAAAGCUGGGGGAGCGAACGG
This 251-nucleotide ribosomal RNA is filed under the name uncultured prokaryote. RNAcentral describes it as "partial 16S ribosomal RNA". It matches the Rfam family "Bacterial small subunit ribosomal RNA", at positions 525 to 775 of the family's 1533-position model. The record is from RNAcentral.